AUGCAAGUCGACGGUAACAGGCCCUUCGGGGUGCUGACGAGUGGCGGACGGGUGAGUAACGCGUAGGAAUUUGCCCAGUAGUGGGGGACAACUUGGGGAAACCCAAGCUAAUACCGCAUACGCCCUACGGGGGAAAGCGGGGGAUCUUCGGACCUCGUGCUAUUGGAUGAGCCUGCGUCGGAUUAGCUAGUUGGUAGGGUAAAGGCCUACCAAGGCGACGAUCCGUAGCUGGUUUGAGAGAACGAUCAGCCACACUGGGACUGAGACACGGCCCAGACUCCUACGGGAGGCAGCAGUGGGGAAUAUUGCACAAUGGGCGCAAGCCUGAUGCAGCAAUGCCGCGUGUGUGAAGAAGGCCUGCGGGUUGUAAAGCACUUUCAAUUGGGAAGAAAAGGUUAGGGUUAAUACCCCUGAUUCUUGACGUUACCUUUAGAAGAAGCACCGGCUAACUCCGUG
RNAcentral lists this ribosomal RNA (456 nucleotides) under uncultured bacterium. RNAcentral describes it as "bacterial SSU rRNA". It matches the Rfam family "Bacterial small subunit ribosomal RNA", at positions 55 to 507 of the family's 1533-position model. The record is from RNAcentral.